Molecule: long non-coding RNA, 983 nt
Filed under: Bemisia tabaci
Lineage: Eukaryota; Metazoa; Arthropoda; Insecta; Hemiptera; Aleyrodidae
Description: lncRNA ENSASIAIIG000870
Source: RNAcentral
CAGCUGACUCACAAUCAGAGUAGCGUUGCAAUGUUGAACAGGUUAACCGCAUAGGUGCAGACGUGCAGAUACCAAUAAUUUAAUCGAAUUUCUUCAGCAAAAUGUGGCAACUUACCGACCAAAAAUGUAAACAUCCAUCCUAACCUUAAACUCAGUGUGUGCCGGUCUGUUUACAUCGAGGUUCUUUCGUCCAAGUUAUUGGGAUUUCUUAGAAAUAAAAAGGAUAAAAUUGAUGGAUUUGUGAUCCUUGAAAUUGGAUUAGAAUCUGGGUUCAUUUCAAAUGUGUGAUAAGGCGAAGCAUGUACUGUAAGUGAGUAACUAUGCGGCAGCAUUACUUAUUUUCCUUUAACUUAGUUUAUUGGAUGAAAACCUGUGGAAAUCUACUUUGGAAUUAGACUUUAAUCUGUGUCAUUUUGGAAUGUGUGAAGAGAUAAAGGAGGAAUCAUUUUCGGACUAACAACAAGUGUGCAUUACACUGAACUGUAGAAGAUGAAGGAUUUGUUCGGACCCUCCGAAGCUCUAGCGAUGAUCAGGCCAAAUAUGCGACCCCGUCCUGCUGUUCCCUGCCAAGGUUGCAUGAAUAAAAUAGGAGUCAACAUGAAAAGGAAGGAACAGAGCCAGUGACGAUGCAAUUUUUCUAAAAUCACUACCUGAUCCUUGAAUUCUUGGAAUUUGUCUAUUCUUGCACGGAGCGAAGAAUGCCUCAUAGUGUGGAAUAUUUUGGAAGACCAUGUGCAAAGAAGGUACAGAUUAUUCUUAUUUUUUGGCAUGCUGAAAUAGAUAAGAACAUUUGUGAGAGGAUUCACGGGAAAAAAGGUUAAAAAAGUUUUGAUUGGUAGGUUUCUUUGUUUUUUUUUCUAAAAAAAAAAAAAAAAUGAAUAAAAAAUUGUAUUUAAUUUUAAGGCACUUUUUUGGUUUGCAGAACAAUUUCAGUUCACUCACCCAAAUUGUUUUGAGCCAAGGAAUGUGCUUUUGAAUUAAAA